AACGGGUGAGUAACACGUGAGCAACCUGCCCUUGACUCUGGGAUAAGCGCUGGAAACGGCGUCUAAUACCGGAUAUGAGCUGCGAUCGCAUGGUCAGCAGUUGGAAAGAUUUUUCGGUCUGGGAUGGGCUCACGGCCUAUCAGCUUGUUGGUGAGGUAAUGGCUCACCAAGGCGUCGACGGGUAGCCGGCCUGAGAGGGUGACCGGCCACACUGGGACUGAGACACGGCCCAGACUCCUACGGGAGGCAGCAGUGGGGAAUAUUGCACAAUGGGCGAAAGCCUGAUGCAGCAACGCCGCGUGAGGGAUGACGGCCUUCGGGUUGUAAACCUCUUUUAGCAGGGAAGAAGCGAAAGUGACGGUACCUGUGCCAGCAGCCGCGGUAAUACGUAGGGCGCAAGCGUUAUCCGGAAUUAUUGGGCGUAAAGAGCUCGUAGGCGGUUUGUCGCGUCUGCUGUGAAAUCCCGAGGCUCAACCUCGGGUCUGCAGUGGGUACGGGCAGACUAGAGUGCGGUAGGGGAGAUUGGAAUUCCUGGUGUAGCGGUGGAAUGCGCAGAUAUCAGGAGGAACACCGAUGGCGAAGGCAGAUCUCUGGGCCGUUACUGACGCUGAGGAGCGAAAGGGUGGGGAGCAAACAGGCUUAGAUACCCUGGUAGUCCACCCCGUAAACGUUGGGAACUAGUUGUGGGGUCCAUUCCACGGAUUCCGUGACGCAGCUAGUUCCCCGCCUGGGGAGUACGGCCGCAAGGCUAAAACUCAAAGGAAUUGACGGGGACCCGCACAAGCGGCGGAGCAUGCGGAUUAAUUCGAUGCAACGCGAAGAACCUUACCAAGGCUUGACAUAUACGAGAACGGGCCAGAAAUGGUCAACUCUUUGGACACUCGUAAACAGGUGGUGCAUGGUUGUCGUCAGCUCGUGUCGUGAGAUGUUGGGUUAAGUCCCGCAACGAGCGCAACCCUCGUUCUAUGUUGCCAGCACGUAAUGGUGGGAACUCAUGGGAUACUGCCGGGGUCAACUCGGAGGAAGGUGGGGAUGACGUCAAAUCAUCAUGCCCCUUAUGUCUUGGGCUUCACGCAUGCUACAAUGGCCGGUACAAAGGGCUGCAAUACCGCGAGGUGGAGCGAAUCCCAAAAAGCCGGUCCCAGUUCGGAUUGAGGUCUGCAACUCGAC
This 1170-nucleotide ribosomal RNA is filed under the name Microbacterium sp. UVW37SB2b. Its description in RNAcentral is "bacterial SSU rRNA". It matches the Rfam family "Bacterial small subunit ribosomal RNA", at positions 101 to 1316 of the family's 1533-position model. The record is from RNAcentral. Lineage: Bacteria; Bacillati; Actinomycetota; Actinomycetes; Micrococcales; Microbacteriaceae. RNAcentral also lists the same sequence under 1 other name.